UACAGAGGUCCCGAGUGUCGUUCGGAUUCACUGGGCGUAAAGGGUGCGCAGGUGGGUUGGCAAGUUUGAUGUGAAAGCCCCGGGCUUAACCCGGGAAUGGCAUUGAAUACUGUUGAUCUGGAGGAUCGGAGGGGGGACUGGAAUUCUUGGUGUAGCAGUGAAAUGCGUAGAUAUCAAGUGGAACACCAGUGGCGAAGGCGAGUCCCUGGAAAACUCCUGACACCGAGGCACGAAAGCUAGGGGAGCAAACAGG
This 253-nucleotide ribosomal RNA is filed under the name uncultured bacterium. RNAcentral's name for it is "partial 16S ribosomal RNA". It matches the Rfam family "Bacterial small subunit ribosomal RNA", at positions 524 to 776 of the family's 1533-position model. The record is from RNAcentral.